This 134-nucleotide non-coding RNA is filed under the name Bacillus glycinifermentans. RNAcentral describes it as "FMN sequence". It matches the Rfam family "FMN riboswitch aptamer (RFN element)". From Rfam's summary of the family: The RFN element is a highly conserved domain that is found frequently in the 5'-untranslated regions of prokaryotic mRNAs that encode for flavin mononucleotide (FMN) biosynthesis and transport proteins. This element is a metabolite-dependent riboswitch that directly binds FMN in the absence of proteins. Lineage: Bacteria; Bacillati; Bacillota; Bacilli; Caryophanales; Bacillaceae. The record is from RNAcentral.
AUCAAUCUUCGGGGCAGGGUGAAAUUCCCUACCGGCGGUGAUGAGUUGUUUGCUCUAAGCCCGCGAGCCUUAUUGAGGCAGGAUUCGGUGAGAUUCCGAAGCCGACAGUAUAGUCUGGAUGGGAGAAGAUGGAG